This 467-nucleotide ribosomal RNA is filed under the name uncultured bacterium. RNAcentral describes it as "partial 16S ribosomal RNA". It matches the Rfam family "Bacterial small subunit ribosomal RNA", at positions 28 to 507 of the family's 1533-position model. The record is from RNAcentral.
GACGAACGCUGGCGGCGUGCUUAACACAUGCAAGUCGAACGGAAAGGCCUCUUUCGGGGGGUACUCGAGUGGCGAACGGGUGAGUAACACGUGAGUAACCUGCCCUUGACUUUGGGAUAACUUCAGGAAACUGGGGCUAAUACCGGAUAGGAGCUCCUGCUGCAUGGUGGGGGUUGGAAAGUUUCGGCGGUUGGGGAUGGACUCGCGGCUUAUCAGCUUGUUGGUGGGGUAGUGGUUUACCAAGGCUUUGACGGGUAGCCGGCCUGAGAGGGUGACCGGCCACAUUGGGACUGAGAUACGGCCCAGACUCCUACGGGAGGCAGCAGUGGGGAAUAUUGCACAAUGGGUGGAAGCCUGAUGCAGCAACGCCGUGUGCGGGAUGACGGCCUUCGGGUUGUAAACCGCUUUCGCUCAUGACGAAGCUUUGUGUGACGGUAGUGGGUAAAGAAGCACCGGCUAACUACGUG